This 3346-nucleotide long non-coding RNA is filed under the name Sus scrofa (pig). RNAcentral describes it as "lncRNA (ENSSSCG00030043592.1)". The record is from RNAcentral. Lineage: Eukaryota; Metazoa; Chordata; Mammalia; Artiodactyla; Suidae.
ACAGACAGCAUGUUAUUUUAAUCACACUUGUAAAUAAAGUUGUGAACCCACUUUUUGUAUUUAAAAUCUGCCUUAGAUAUAUAAAAGUCAGUUCUUCCAAGCAAAAUAUCUUCAGUUAAGUGUUUCUAUUUGAUCUUGUAUAGCCUUUGAUAUUUUGGAUAGAAAUAAAAGAAGUAAAACAAACCACACAAAAUAUUCAGAAAAUUGCCUUUCUUUCUGGAAUUUCCCUCAUGGCUCAGUGGACAUGAACCCAACUAAUAUCCAUGAGGAUUCAAGCUCAAUCCCUGGGGGCUCUGCUCAGUGAGUUAAGGAUCCGGCGUUGCUGUGAGCUGUGGUGUAGGUCGCAGACGUGGCUCAGAUCCCGCCUCGCUGUGGCUGUGGCAAAGGCUGGCAGUUGCAGCUCCAAUUCGACCCCUACCCUAGGAACUUCCAUGUGCCACAGGUGUGGUCCUAAAAAAAAUUUUUUUUUAAUUGUACUUUUUUUGAUGAUUGAGUAAAUAUAACUAUUUUUUGCUCAUAUUAGUAUUUGGAUCCAUUCUUUCAAAAAAAUUAAUCUUAGAGUUCUCUUUUGGCACGAAAGGCUAAGGAUCCAGAAUUGUACCUGCAGCAGCUUAGGUUGCUGCUGUGGCGUGGGUUCAAUCCUGGCCUGGGAAUUUCUGCAUGUCACUGGUGCAGUAAAUAAAAAAAUCAGUCUUCAAAAAAAUUGAAAAGUGUAUCCUUCAUGAAUACAGAUUAAAAUCAUUUUGAGCAUACAAAAUACCUUCUAUAUAUAAGAGCUAGUCAACAAAAUUUCAAUAUUUCUGACAAUUUGGUUUUGGACCUUCAUUGUGUUUUAUGGAGAAAGGCCCCAUUUUCCUGCUUUCUAAAGGAGUUAGAUCACUAAUUAAUAAAUUUGAAGUAACAUCACUAUUUUUUGAUGACCAUAAAAAUCCAGAAAAAUAGGGGCCGUAUUCCUAAAUACAACUAAUAUACUUAUGUUGUGGAUUUUAUUUCUAAACUAAAUAUAGUCUCCUAAGGCAUUCUCUAUCAUCUAAUAAAUAUAUAGAUGCAGCUGUACAGGUAAGGAGCUAACUUCAAAGAUUAGAUGUUAUUAAGUGCAUUAAUGAUGUACUAGCUUUGCUGUGAUUCAGAAGACCUGGGUAUCUGAUGAGGUUUUCAGUGAUUAGACUGACACUAGCUGUGCAGAAUUUUUUUUUACUUUGAGUAUCUAUAAUUUAAAAAUCUAUAUGCAAGGCAUUUCCCAUUUUCACAGUCUUGGAUUUUCUUUUUCUUUUUUUUUUUUUUUUGACUCCCUGAGCCAAAGAAAUCUUUCACUUUUGCUUACAAAACAGUUUUAAUGAUAAAAAUGUUUCUGGUCUAUAUUCCACCAAAAGACAAGAAAGGAGUCUUAAUGAAUUUAUUUGAAAAAUGGAGAGAAUAACUUAGUUCAUUUAGAAGAUAGAGAUAUAACAUCCGGGUGUUGCUUUGGGUAAGGGAAAUAGAGAAAAUACAUACUUUUUCUUUCUUUUUACGAUUUCGGGCAGCUAUCCAUUUAUGAUAAGGCAGAAACUAUAGCAUUAAUUAAUAAAUAAUGUCGUGGAACACAUUCUUUGGAAUGCAGUUUGUGGCUUCUUGCCCAGGAUAGUGGAACAGCUGUUUCUGCUGAAUUAUUGGAAUGUGAGAAGCAAUGAUGUAAAUGCUUCAAAGCACAGAGAGUAAAGGGAUUUUUCUUUUUUUUGGUCUGAAAUCCCAAUGAAUAGAAGCUUUUAUACACAAAGAAAGAAUUCAGAGAGCCCUGUACUCUUUGAGCAUAACACUUCUUCGCCUUGCACAUUCCCAUUAUUCUACCAGAUCCUUGGUGUGAGAUGUUUCAGGGGUUUCUGGUCACACAAGACUCUUCUGUUCUUCCACAAAUCACUCAGAACCAGAAACCCUUUGGUCAACUUAGGGUGCACCCCUGUAAGGUCUCUGCAGGGAAAGGGCAGCGAGCAGUGCCAAGCUGGGGUGUGGCUGGCAGUGUGGCAGGUAGGGGCCCUGGAAUUGAAGGACCUCAGAGCCAUCCCAGCUCUGCUACUUUGUAGCACUGGGACCUCAGUCAAGUGACUAACACAGAGCACAUAUUGCUCAUCUCUGCCUCUAUGUUUUAUCAGUAGCAUGAGGAUAGUUGAUAAAAUUAUGCUAUUGAUAAUUCCAUCAAUAGCCUAAGGAUAAAAGAAUUGAUCUCAGAGUGUCCUUAAUGAGUAUUAACAGAAAAGGUUUAUGUAUGGCUCAUGUAAACACUGAAUAAACAGUAGUUAUUUUUAUUAGGCAUUUUAUUCCAAAGCACUUUUCAAUCGGUUUGUUGUACAGAAGGUGACAGUUAUGAUACCGAAUAAUUUCCGGAGUUCCCUGGUGGCUCAGUGGAUUAAGGAUCUAGCCUUGUCACUGCUAUGGCUUAGGUUGCUGCUGUGCCAUGAGUUCAGUCCCUGGCCUGGGAACUUCCACAUGCCUUGAAUGUGGCCAAAAAAUUAAUUAAUUUUAAAAAUAAGGUAUUGAAUUAUUUCUAUUUAAAAAACAUACUGAGAUGGAAGUCAAGCCAGAUCCUGAUCAGGCUUGAUAUAUUUGCUGUGUGAUUUAGAAAAGUCAUUUAACUUCUCCAAAUCUCAGUUUGCCUAUCUGAAAAAUGGAGUUAAUAAUGGUUUCUGUUGCUUCUGUGCUUAUUACAUUCUAGAUACUGCGCUAAGUGUUUUACAUGCCCUGGGUGAUUUAAUCCCCCUAACAACCUUAAGUGAUAGGAACUAUUUUAGCAUUUUACAGAGGAAGAAACAAGUACAGAGAGGAAUCUGAUUUCAUUCACUUACAGAGCACUUACUGAGCAUUAUUCUAUUACAGACACUUUUUCUUGAUGCUAGAAAUGUAGCCAUGAACAAGAGACAAAAAGGCAGGGGCUGGGGUCCUUAUAGGCCUAUGUUCUAAUAGGAAAAGGGAAUGAAGAAUUUUUUUUCUUUUUAGGGUCACAUCUGUGGCAUAUGGAAGUUCCCAGGCUAGGGGUCGAAUUAGAGCUGUAGCUGCCAGCCUAUGCUAAGCCACAGCAAUGCCAGAUCCGAGCCAUGUCUGUAGCCUACACUGCAGCUCACGGCAAUGCCAGAUCCCUAACCCUGAAUGAGUGGGUUAAGGAUCCAGCAUUGCCGUGAGCUGUGGUAUAGGUUGCAGACAAGGCUCAGAUCCCGUGUUGCUCUGGCUCUGGUGUAAGCCGGUGGCUACACCUCCGAUUCGACCCCUAGGCUGGGAACCUCCAUAUGCCGCGGGAGCUGCCCAAGAAAUGGCAAAAAGACAACAAAAAAAGAAAGAAAGAAAGAAAAUAUAUCAUCUAUUGGAGUGGUUAGGG